RNAcentral lists this ribosomal RNA (371 nucleotides) under uncultured bacterium. RNAcentral's name for it is "bacterial SSU rRNA". It matches the Rfam family "Bacterial small subunit ribosomal RNA", at positions 527 to 896 of the family's 1533-position model. The record is from RNAcentral.
GGAGGGUGCUAGCGUUGUUCGGAAUCACUGGGCGUAAAGCGCGUGUAGGCGGUUCGCUAAGUCUGGUGUGAAAGCCCGGGGCUCACCCCCGGAAGGGCACUGGAAACUGGCGGACUCGAGUCCCGGAGAGGAGGGUGGAAUUCCUGGUGUAGCGGUGAAAUGCGUAGAUAUCAGGAGGAACACCGGUGGCGAAGGCGGCCCUCUGGACGGUGACUGACGCUGAGACGCGAAAGCGUGGGGAGCAAACAGGAUUAGAUACCCUGGUAGUCCACGCCGUAAACGAUGAGCACUAGGUGUCGCGGGUAUUGACCCCUGCGGUGCCGACGCUAACGCAUUAAGUGCUCCGCCUGGGGACUACGGCCGCAAGGUUA